AACGAACGCUGGCGGCAUGCCUAACACAUGCAAGUCGAACGAGACCUUCGGGUCUAGUGGCGCACGGGUGCGUAACGCGUGGGAACCUGCCCUUAGGUUCGGAAUAACUCCCCGAAAGGGGUGCUAAUACCGGAUAAUGUCUUCGGACCAAAGAUUUAUCGCCUUUGGAUGGGCCCGCGUUGGAUUAGCUAGUUGGUAGGGUAGAAGCCUACCAAGGCGACGAUCCAUAGCUGGUCUGUGAGGAUGGUCAGCCACACUGGGACUGAGACACGACCCAGACUGCCACGGGAGGCAGGAGUGGGGCAUAUUGCAACAGGCGCGAAGGCCGGACCCAGCGAUGAGCCGAGAGCGCUGGCGCCUCUACGGUUGUAAGGCACUUGUACCCGGGCGGCUCAUGGCAGUCCCGGGCGACUAAGCCCCGGCUAGCAGCGUG
This 433-nucleotide ribosomal RNA is filed under the name uncultured bacterium. RNAcentral describes it as "partial 16S ribosomal RNA". It matches the Rfam family "Bacterial small subunit ribosomal RNA", at positions 29 to 507 of the family's 1533-position model. The record is from RNAcentral.